RNAcentral lists this transfer RNA (68 nucleotides) under Cercocebus chrysogaster (Golden-bellied mangabey). RNAcentral describes it as "tRNA-Asp". Lineage: Eukaryota; Metazoa; Chordata; Mammalia; Primates; Cercopithecidae. The record is from RNAcentral.
AAGAUAUUAGAAAAACUAUUUCAUGGCUUUGUCAAAGCCAAGCUAUAGGUCAAACCCUAUAUAUCUUA